This 751-nucleotide unclassified non-coding RNA is filed under the name Hevea brasiliensis (rubber tree). Lineage: Eukaryota; Viridiplantae; Streptophyta; Magnoliopsida; Malpighiales; Euphorbiaceae. The record is from RNAcentral.
ACCAGCCGACCUCGGAGAGGGGUUCGUCCUCGCCGAGGUCGAGCUCUACGGUGAUGUCGUCCUGCGCUACAUUAGCCACCCGGACGACACCACCACCUUCCUCCCAGGUUUCCAGAACCUGCCCCCUCCUGAUACCGAAUUCAGUUUCGGGAUCAGGCGGCUGGACCAUGCUGUAGGCAACGUAUCCGAUCUAGCAUCGGCUGUUGCCUAUGUGGCGGGGUUCACCGGGUUCCACCCGUUCGCCGAGUUCACCGCUGACGAUGUGGGGACGGCGGAGAGCGGGUUGAACUCGGUGGUGCUGGCGAACAAUGAUGAGACUGUGCUGAUCCCGAUGAAUGAGCCGGUGCAUGGGACUGUCCGGCGGAGUCAGAUUCAGACUUAUUUGGAUCAUAAUGGUGGUGCUGGAGUGCAGCAUCUGGCGCUUGCAAGUGGGGAUGUGUUUCGGACGUUGCGGGAGAUGAGGCGGCGGUCGGCGGAGGGGGGAUUUGAUUUUAUGCCGGCACCACCGCCGACUUAUUAUAAGAAUUUGGGGCGGCGGGUGGGGGAUGUGCUGACAGUGGAGCAGAUUAAGGAGUGUGAGGAGCUGGGGUUGCUGGUGGACAGGGAUGAUCAGGGAGUGUUGCUGCAGAUCUUCACCAAGCCAGUUGGUGACAGGCCUACAAUAUUCUUGGAGAUCAUACAGAGGAUUGGAUGCAUGGCAAAGGAUGAGAAAGGAAGAGACUACCAGAAGGGUGGAUGCGGAGGGUUUGGG